RNAcentral lists this long non-coding RNA (675 nucleotides) under Helianthus annuus (common sunflower). RNAcentral describes it as "hypothetical non coding rna". The record is from RNAcentral. Lineage: Eukaryota; Viridiplantae; Streptophyta; Magnoliopsida; Asterales; Asteraceae.
UUUCAAAAUCUUAACAAACCUUAACCAGCUGCACCCCGUGUCUCUUCUCCCUCGUAUGAAGGCCGGCCGACCACCACAUGUGGUGGCGGCGUUUGGCGGCUGCAACGACGAUAAGCGGAGGUGAGACACCGUAGGCGGCGGUGUUUUGUCUCGAAGUCCCGGUCAAACUCACACCGCUACUCACCUUCUUCCUCUAUAUAUGACACUCACAAAUCCGAAUCAAGAACGAGACUACAGAGAGUGGCCGGAGAAAGAGGGAGUUAAGGGGGGGGGGGGGGGCUGUGAUGUUGAAGAUGACUGGCGACGACAGUGACGCCGCCUCAGGCGGCGGCGGCAACCGGCGGAUGAGUAUCAUCCCUGUAAACCGACGCCGGAGACAUUCGCCGGAACCUGAAAUCCACGAUGGAGCUUAGUUUCUUCCGUUUCGGUUAGUUUUAUCAUUUGAAGUCCACUUGUUCGUGCGGUAAAUCAAGGAAUCCUUAUACGCAAAAUGGUACUACGCGUAAUAGGCUAGCCACUCCUUAAGCAUCCAUAGAAGUCUUGCAAGCUUAGGAUGCAAGAAGUCUGUUGAAACGAAGUUUCCUGUUUAUUUGAUUCUGCCUGUGGAUUCUAUUUUGACAUUUUGUGAUACUCGAAUAUUACAAUAAUUUAAUUUGAAAUGAAUCUAUCUUUGCU